GAUGAACGCUGGCGGCGUGCCUAACACAUGCAAGUCGAGCGAAGCACUUUGCUUAGAUUCUUCGGAUGAAGAGGAUUGUGACUGAGCGGCGGACGGGUGAGUAACGCGUGGGUAACCUGCCUCAUACAGGGGGAUAACAGUUAGAAAUGACUGCUAAUACCGCAUAAGACCACAGCACCGCAUGGUGCGGGGGUAAAAACUCCGGUGGUAUGAGAUGGACCCGCGUCUGAUUAGCUAGUUGGUAAGGUAACGGCUUACCAAGGCGACGAUCAGUAGCCGACCUGAGAGGGUGACCGGCCACAUUGGGACUGAGACACGGCCCAAACUCCUACGGGAGGCAGCAGUGGGGAAUAUUGCACAAUGGGGGAAACCCUGAUGCAGCGACGCCGCGUGAGCGAAGAAGUAUUUCGGUAUGUAAAGCUCUAUCAGCAGGGAAGAAAAUGACGG
This 447-nucleotide ribosomal RNA is filed under the name uncultured bacterium. Its description in RNAcentral is "bacterial SSU rRNA". It matches the Rfam family "Bacterial small subunit ribosomal RNA", at positions 28 to 457 of the family's 1533-position model. The record is from RNAcentral.